Molecule: non-coding RNA, 234 nt
Organism: Macaca mulatta (Rhesus monkey)
Lineage: Eukaryota; Metazoa; Chordata; Mammalia; Primates; Cercopithecidae
Source: RefSeq, a predicted model, not a curated record
AGUUAAUCUGUGGCGACAUGCUGGAGGUACUAGACAAACACCUCAUUCCAGCAGCUACCACUGCCCCCAUUCACUGGGGAGAAUGGAAAGAAAACAACUGACAACAUCCUCAAAUGUAAACUCAAUUUGCCUCCCUACCUCACACAAGAAGCCAGAGAUCUGCUUAAAAAGGCUCAUCCAUUCUUUAGACACAUUAACUGGGAAGAACUUCUGGCUGGAAAGGUGGAGCCCCCA